This 253-nucleotide ribosomal RNA is filed under the name uncultured bacterium. RNAcentral describes it as "partial 16S ribosomal RNA". It matches the Rfam family "Bacterial small subunit ribosomal RNA", at positions 524 to 776 of the family's 1533-position model. The record is from RNAcentral.
UACGUAGGGGGCAAGCGUUGUCCGGAAUCAUUGGGCGUAAAGCGCGUGUAGGCGGCUCGGUAAGUCUGCUGUGAAAGGCCAGGGCUCAACCCUGGGAUGCCGGUGGAUACUGUCGAGCUCGAGUCCGGAAGAGGCGAGUGGAAUUCCUGGUGUAGCGGUGAAAUGCGCAGAUAUCAGGAGGAACACCAAUGGCGAAGGCAGCUCGCUGGGACGUGACUGACGCUGAGACGCGAAAGCGUGGGGAGCAAACAGG